AGAGUUUGAUCAUGGCUCAGAGCGAACGCUGGCGGCAGGCUUAACACAUGCAAGUCGAACGGACCCUUCGGGGUUAGUGGCGGACGGGUGAGUAACACGUGGGAACGUGCCUUUAGGUUCGGAACAACAGAGGGAAACUUCUGCUAAUACCGGAUGUGCCCUUCGGGGGAAAGAUUUAUCGCCUUUAGAGCGGCCCGCGUCUGAUUAGCUUGUUGGUGAGGUAAAGGCUCACCAAGGCUACGAUCAGUAGCUGGUCUGAGAGGAUGGCCAGCCACAUUGGGACUGAGACACGGCCCAAACUCCUACGGGAGGCAGCAGUGGGGAAUCUUGCGCAAUGGGCGAAAGCCUGACGCAGCCAUGCCGCGUGGAUGAUGAAGGUCUUAGGAUUGUAAAAUCCUUUCAGCGGGGACGAUAAUGACGGUACCCGCAGAAGAAGCCCCGGCUAACUUCGUGCCAGCAGCCGCGGUAAUACGAAGGGGGCUAGCGUUGCUCGGAUUUACUGGGCGUAAAGGGCGCGUAGGCGGACAGUUAAGUUGGGGGUGAAAGCCCGGGGCUCAACCUCGGAAUUGCCUUCAAUACUGGCUGUCUUGAGUGUGAGAGAGGUGUGUGGAACUCCGAGUGUAGAGGUGAAAUUCGUAGAUAUUCGGAAGAACACCAGUGGCGAAGGCGACACACUGGCUCACUACUGACGCUGAGGCGCGAAAGCGUGGGGAGCAAACAGGAUUAGAUACCCUAGUAGUCC
Molecule: ribosomal RNA, 742 nt
Filed under: uncultured bacterium
Lineage: Bacteria
Description: bacterial SSU rRNA
Rfam family: Bacterial small subunit ribosomal RNA
Source: RNAcentral